Oryza sativa Indica Group (long-grained rice) is the source of this 78-nucleotide small RNA. It matches the Rfam family "Flavo-1 RNA". The record is from Rfam. Lineage: Eukaryota; Viridiplantae; Streptophyta; Magnoliopsida; Poales; Poaceae.
CCACAGCCCUGAUGGGAGCGGUAUCCUUUUUUGGGCUUCUUUAGCCGGGAAAAGAUAUAGCAGACAGCAGGAUCAGCU